This 738-nucleotide ribosomal RNA is filed under the name uncultured Acinetobacter sp. Its description in RNAcentral is "bacterial SSU rRNA". It matches the Rfam family "Bacterial small subunit ribosomal RNA", at positions 8 to 740 of the family's 1533-position model. The record is from RNAcentral. Lineage: Bacteria; Pseudomonadati; Pseudomonadota; Gammaproteobacteria; Moraxellales; Moraxellaceae.
AGAGUUUGAUCAUGGCUCAGAUUGAACGCUGGCGGCAGGCUUAACACAUGCAAGUCGAGCGGAGAUGAGGUGCUUGCACCUUAUCUUAGCGGCGGACGGGUGAGUAAUGCUUAGGAAUCUGCCUAUUAGUGGGGGACAACAUUUCGAAAGGAAUGCUAAUACCGCAUACGCCCUACGAGGGAAAGCAGGGGAUCUUCGGACCUUGCGCUAAUAGAUGAGCCUAAGUCGGAUUAGCUAGUUGGUGGGGUAAAGGCCUACCAAGGCGACGAUCUGUAGCGGGUUUGAGAGGAUGAUCCGCCACACUGGGACUGAGACACGGCCCAGACUCCUACGGGAGGCAGCAGUGGGGAAUAUUGGACAAUGGGGGGAACCCUGAUCCAGCCAUGCCGCGUGUGUGAAGAAGGCCUUUUGGUUGUAAAGCACUUUAAGCGAGGAGGAGGAGCUCUAGAUUAAUACUCUAGAUGCUUGGACGUUACUCGCAGAAUAAGCACCGGCUAACUCUGUGCCAGCAGCCGCGGUAAUACAGAGGGUGCAAGCGUUAAUCGGAUUUACUGGGCGUAAAGCGUGCGUAGGUGGUCUUUUAAGUCGGAUGUGAAAUCCCUGAGCUUAACUUAGGAAUUGCAUUCGAUACUGGGAGACUAGAGUAUGGGAGAGGAUGGUAGAAUUCCAGGUGUAGCGGUGAAAUGCGUAGAGAUCUGGAGGAAUACCGAUGGCGAAGGCAGCCAUCUGGCCUAAUAC